CAAAUCGGACAAUUGCGCGAUGAAAGACUCGUGAGGAAGGUCCAUGCCCGCCCGAUCUGCGAUGAUUGGAGUGUUUGUACUGAGCCUAAUAAGCGAAGGCAGUUGCGGCAUUAGUUGCAGAUGACGGCAGAAAAAAAGACUAAGGCUUCGGCUAUGUCUGAUUAUUCUAUAAAAGUGCUAUAGUGACGAAGAACCGGAAAACCGGGGAAAUGAGACGGCGUAAACCCUGCAAGCGGGCAACCCAAACUUUUGGUAGGGGCGGUCAAUUUAACCAACUGAAGCAAAAAUUGACACUUGGAUUUGCGCGAGUAAAUGCAAGUAGAUAGAUAAUUGUCGAAAAUUGUGCUCGCCAAGUACAAUUGGAACAUAACAUGGCCUAUAGAU
This 384-nucleotide RNase P RNA is filed under the name Oenococcus sicerae. Its description in RNAcentral is "RNase P RNA component class B". It matches the Rfam family "Bacterial RNase P class B". From Rfam's summary of the family: Ribonuclease P (RNase P) is a ubiquitous endoribonuclease, found in archaea, bacteria and eukarya as well as chloroplasts and mitochondria. Its best characterised activity is the generation of mature 5'-ends of tRNAs by cleaving the 5'-leader elements of precursor-tRNAs. Cellular RNase Ps are ribonucleoproteins. The record is from RNAcentral. Lineage: Bacteria; Bacillati; Bacillota; Bacilli; Lactobacillales; Lactobacillaceae.